GGUUCCCAAACCAGUCCUCAAGGCCCACCAACAGUCCAGGAUUAUGUAUUUCCCUGUUUUAUUCCAAUGGAGAUACUAACAAAACUUGGACUGUUGGUGGAUCUUGAGGACUGGUUUAGGAAA
Pelobates cultripes (western spadefoot toad) is the source of this 123-nucleotide non-coding RNA. NCBI's taxonomy places the organism in Eukaryota, Metazoa, Chordata, Amphibia, Anura, Pelobatidae. The record is from the annotation of a GenBank genome assembly.